UACGAAGGGGGCUAGCGUUGUUCGGAAUUACUGGGCGUAAAGCGCGCGCAGGCGGCUUUCCAAGUCAGUGGUGAAAGCCCGGAGCUCAACUCCGGAAUUGCCAUUGAAACUGUAAAGCUUGAGUACGAGAGAGGUGAGUGGAAUUCCCAGUGUAGAGGUGAAAUUCGUAGAUAUUGGGAAGAACACCGGUGGCGAAGGCGGCUCACUGGCUCGUUACUGACGCUCAGGCGCGAAAGCGUGGGGAGCAAACAG
RNAcentral lists this ribosomal RNA (252 nucleotides) under uncultured bacterium. Its description in RNAcentral is "partial 16S ribosomal RNA". It matches the Rfam family "Bacterial small subunit ribosomal RNA", at positions 524 to 775 of the family's 1533-position model. The record is from RNAcentral.